RNAcentral lists this transfer RNA (84 nucleotides) under Candidatus Pacearchaeota archaeon. RNAcentral describes it as "tRNA-Leu". It matches the Rfam family "tRNA". From Rfam's summary of the family: Transfer RNA (tRNA) molecules are approximately 80 nucleotides in length. Their secondary structure includes four short double-helical elements and three loops (D, anti-codon, and T loops). Lineage: Archaea; Nanobdellati. The record is from RNAcentral.
GCGGGGAUUCCUGAGUGGUCAAAAGGGCAGGACUUAAGAUCCUGUGGCUUAGUGCCUUCGGAGGUUCGAAUCCUCCUCCCCGCA